Molecule: ribosomal RNA, 500 nt
Filed under: uncultured bacterium
Lineage: Bacteria
Description: partial 16S ribosomal RNA
Rfam family: Bacterial small subunit ribosomal RNA
Source: RNAcentral
AUUGAACGCUGGCGGAAUGCUUUACACAUGCAAGUCGAACGGCAGCACGGACUCCGGUCUGGUGGCGAGUGGCGAACGGGUGAGUAAUGUAUCGGAACGUGCCCAGUCGUGGGGGAUAACGUAGUGAAAAUUACGCUAAUACCGCAUACGAUCUAUGGAUGAAAGCGGGGGAUCGCAAGACCUCGCGCGAUUGGAGCGGCCGAUAUCAGAUUAGGUAGUUGGUGGGGUAAAGGCCCACCAAGCCAACGAUCUGUAGCUGGUCUGAGAGGACGACCAGCCACACUGGAACCGAGACACGGUCCAGACUCCUACGGGAGGCAGCAGUGGGGAAUUUUGGACAAUGGGCGAAAGCCUGAUCCAGCCAUUCCGCGUGCAGGAUGAAGGCCCUCGGGUUGUAAACUGCUUUUGUACAGAACGAAAAGGUUUCUACUAAUACUAGGAGCUCAUGACGGUACUGUAAGAAUAAGCACCGGCUAACUACGUGCCAGCAGCCGCCGCGG